Non-coding RNA from Pelobates cultripes (western spadefoot toad), 211 nucleotides. Lineage: Eukaryota; Metazoa; Chordata; Amphibia; Anura; Pelobatidae. The record is from the annotation of a GenBank genome assembly.
CUUAUGUCAUGGUCACCAACAGAUAUUUUGGUUUUGUGCUUCCCUGGACCUUCUUUCAGUUUUGCUGUCACAAGUGACAUUGCUAUUUUCUUCGUAAUGCAUAGAAUGCAAAAUAGGCCUCUAGAUGAGCUGGGAUCUUCAUGCACAUUUAAUUUACAUUGGUUUAAUUGUGUGUUGACAUAACAUCAGCUGUCUAUGACUGACAUUUGAU